AUUGAACGCUGGCGGCAUGCUUUACACAUGCAAGUCGAACGGCAGCGCGGGCUUCGGCCUGGCGGCGAGUGGCGAACGGGUGAGUAAUGCAUCGGAACGUGCCCAGUAGUGGGGGAUAGCCCGGCGAAAGCCGGAUUAAUACCGCAUACGACCUGAGGGUGAAAGCGGGGGACCGAAAGGCCUCGCGCUAUUGGAGCGGCCGAUGUCGGAUUAGCUAGUUGGUGGGGUAAAGGCUUACCAAGGCGACGAUCCGUAGCUGUUCUGAGAGGACGACCAGCCACACUGGGACUGAGACACGGCCCAGACUCCUACGGGAGGCAGCAGUGGGGAAUUUUGGACAAUGGGGGCAACCCUGAUCCAGCCAUGCCGCGUGCGGGAAGAAGGCCUUCGGGUUGUAAACCGCUUUUGUUCGGGAAGAAAUCCUCUGGGCUAAUACCCCGGGGGGAUGACGGUACCGGAAGAAUAAGCACCGGCUAACUACGUG
Molecule: ribosomal RNA, 484 nt
Filed under: uncultured bacterium
Lineage: Bacteria
Description: partial 16S ribosomal RNA
Rfam family: Bacterial small subunit ribosomal RNA
Source: RNAcentral